CAGCAGCCGCGGUAAUACGAAGGGUGCAAGCGUUACUCGGAAUUACUGGGCGUAAAGCGUGCGUAGGUGGUGGUUUAAGUCCGUUGUGAAAGCCCUGGGCUCAACCUGGGAAUUGCAGUGGAUACUGGGUCACUAGAGUGUGGUAGAGGAUAGUGGAAUUUCCGGUGUAGCAGUGAAAUGCGUAGAGAUCGGAAGGAACAUCUGUGGCGAAGGCGACUAUCUGGGCCAACACUGACACUGAGGCACGAAAGCGUGGGGAGCAAACAGGAUUAGAGACCCGCGUAGUCCCUGUCUCUUAUAC
Molecule: ribosomal RNA, 301 nt
Filed under: uncultured bacterium
Lineage: Bacteria
Description: partial 16S ribosomal RNA
Rfam family: Bacterial small subunit ribosomal RNA
Source: RNAcentral